UCCUACAGCCAGGCCAGCUUGGCUGGGUUUCUCUCACAAGCUAAGCAGGGUUGGGCAGGGGCAGCACUUGGAGGGGAGGCUGCCUCGGAAGAGCUGGGCACUGUAGGCU
RNAcentral lists this ribosomal RNA (109 nucleotides) under Chrysemys picta bellii (western painted turtle). Lineage: Eukaryota; Metazoa; Chordata; Testudines; Emydidae. The record is from RNAcentral.